GCCUCUGUAGCUCAGUUGGUUAGAGCGCUGCACCGGAAUCGCAGGGCCGUAGGUUCAAUUCCUACGAGAGCA
Molecule: transfer RNA, 72 nt
Filed under: Paramuricea clavata
Lineage: Eukaryota; Metazoa; Cnidaria; Anthozoa; Malacalcyonacea; Plexauridae
Rfam family: tRNA
About the family: Transfer RNA (tRNA) molecules are approximately 80 nucleotides in length. Their secondary structure includes four short double-helical elements and three loops (D, anti-codon, and T loops). Further hydrogen bonds mediate the characteristic L-shaped molecular structure. tRNAs have two regions of fundamental functional importance: the anti-codon, which is responsible for specific mRNA codon recognition, and the 3' end, to which the tRNAs corresponding amino acid is attached (by aminoacyl-tRNA synthetases). tRNAs cope with the degeneracy of the genetic code in two manners: having more than one tRNA (with a specific anti-codon) for a particular amino acid; and 'wobble' base-pairing, i.e. permitting non-standard base-pairing at the 3rd anti-codon position.
Source: Rfam by way of RNAcentral